Pelobates cultripes (western spadefoot toad) is the source of this 78-nucleotide non-coding RNA. The record is from the annotation of a GenBank genome assembly. NCBI's taxonomy places the organism in Eukaryota, Metazoa, Chordata, Amphibia, Anura, Pelobatidae.
ACUUUGCUCUAGCAGUACGGUUAAUAUUGGAAAGAUUUGAUAGUAAACUCCAAUAUUUACGUGCUGCUAAAACACUGC